This 254-nucleotide ribosomal RNA is filed under the name uncultured bacterium. RNAcentral's name for it is "partial 16S ribosomal RNA". It matches the Rfam family "Bacterial small subunit ribosomal RNA", at positions 524 to 776 of the family's 1533-position model. The record is from RNAcentral.
UACGUAGGGUCCGAGCGUUGUCCGGAAUUACUGGGCGUAAAGAGCUCGUAGGUGGUUUGUCGCGUUGUUCGUGAAAACUCACAGCUCAACUGUGGGCGUGCGGGCGAUACGGGCAGACUAGAGUGCUGCAGGGGAGACUGGAAUUCCUGGUGUAGCGGUGGAAUGCGCAGAUAUCAGGAGGAACACCGGUGGCGAAGGCGGGUCUCUGGGCAGUAACUGACGCUGAGGAGCGAAAGCGUGGGGGAGCGAACAGG